AUCCGGCUGACGAGUUCCAAACAGGACGAAAUGCGCAUCCUGGAU
RNAcentral lists this non-coding RNA (45 nucleotides) under Trichobilharzia regenti. Lineage: Eukaryota; Metazoa; Platyhelminthes; Trematoda; Strigeidida; Schistosomatidae. The record is from RNAcentral.